CCUUCUGCACUUCAUGCUGUUGGGACUUUUCGAUGGCCAUGUAGGUAAGAAAAAACCCUCACGCAGAAAGCUGUUACAGAAAAUCAAAGAGGCCAUGCUUGCUUAAAUUUGAAAAAUAUCUGUAGGUUAUCUUUUCACAUUCUGCAAUUCAGUUAUUAUUAUUAUUAUAUUUAUUUUUUUACUCUUUAGGGAAAUUUAGAUGAUAAUGUAGUUUAAGUAAAACUAGAGUUCAAAACAGUUUCUUGCUUAUCCACUGCAGACACACUUAGUUUCAAAUAUAUACUUUAAGUCAGAUGUGACUAUCAAACAAGUUGGCGCAAUCUUCCUGGAGCACUUCCUCUUACAGUCUUUACAUGGGAUGGAAAUCAAGUAACAUUGAUUAAGCACAUCUAUCAAAGGUUUAUAAGUCUCCACCUCUUCCUCCUUACUGUCAGCCUGUGUCAGAUCUUAGUAUAAAGACCGUAUUAAUGUCAUGAGAUUUUCACAAACUUUACCCAUUCUCUAACUAGUAAGUGGACAUUAGGAUGGCUCCUGAUGGACCACACAACAGCUGGGCAGGUUCUUAAUUGGUCAGGGUGGUUUUUCCUCGCUGGUUAGAGGUUUAGUUUAGUUUAGUUUAGCUAGAGUUAAGUGAGUGUUACAAACAGUCAACUUAGUCUAAUUCUGCAUCAUACUUUAAUAAACUGCAUUUUUGUGAUUUGGAAAAAUAUUCUGAUGCUGUCUUUGCACAAGCGUAGCCCAGCAGUUAAACUGCAGACCCACUGAAUAAAGACAACAGUUCUUAUAACAGGUAGCCCAGGUUUGAUUUCAGCCUGCAACCCUGUACCAAAGUAGCUCGAGUUUCCAAAUCUAAUCACUUUUCUUUUCUAUAUCAGUUUUCAAGCCCCGAAAUAGACUUGGAAAAAACAGUUGUUUCUCACUUGAUUUUAGCUCUAACCUCCCUCACUGUAGCUUAAAGCUCAAGCAAAGUCCUUUCUGGAGCCCACCAAAACAGAAGCAGCAGUGCCAGGCCCCAUCGGGAGGCGGGGGGCUGCUGUGGCUGGACUCCCAGGCUGCCACUUCACAUCAUCAGACUGCAUCCCAGGGGAGGAGUCCCAAGUUUGACAGGCAGGCAUGCAGCUGAAACCACUUGAGAGGACAAGCUCAAGGUAAGUACUGGAGGAGAAGAGGAGGCUUAGCUUUCAUGCACUCGCCUAUAAUCAUUUUUAGUUCUUGCAGAUAGAGCACACAUGCACACACAAACACAUGGUGUGAGUGACGGGGACAAUCAGCUCUCACACAUACAUUGCCAAAAAACAAAGCUUAUGAGAGUGAAAAAACCUGCUGCAGAUGAUGUUGCUGCUGAGUACCAGUAGGUUGUAUAAAAGUUGACAAAAUCACAAAUAAUUUUUAAUUCACCAGCAAUAUGUUGUACUCUGAAGGGGAGAAAAAGGAGAGAGAAAAGAUAACAUGAGAGAGAGGGAGAAAGAGGAAGAGCAGGGGGAUGAGUGCUGAAAGCGUUUGGCUCCGUUCAAAUAGUUGCCAUGGUUUCUAGAUGUUUCCAUGGAAAUGCUAGCUGCCAAUAAAAUGAAUUUGAGGAGAAUCUUUGCGGCAGGUUGGCAGGAAGGUGAGAGCAUGGCGCAGGAGAUGGGGACAACAGAGUUGAGAAUGGGGGGUGGGGGCUGGGGGGGCUGGGUGGCUGGGGCUUCAUUCGCUUUCCUAAUGCAGCACUUAGUUGCAUGCAUGGAUAAAUGACGGGGGGUGGACAGGGUCAGGGGAGAAUUUUGGGUAAACAAGGGAGGAAAAACAUGCACAGAGGAUGGGUUGUCAUAGUAACCGUAGGCGCACAACAGAGUGCAGGAAAAUACAUAGCAGCUUGACUUGCAACGGCUUAACGUGUGUCACAAUUGUGUCUGUGUUUGCAGACAGAUUGAAUGACCUGGUGGUCAGAUAGCACACAGGUGUGUGACAGGUGGUUCUUUUCUUUUUUUUUCUGCAUAAAAACUCAAUCAGAAAAUCUUUCCAUUGACAGUUUUUUUCAUUUUAUUUCAGGGCCGGAGAAAAGAGCUUAAUGUGUAAUCAGAGGCACUGACAAUAAUGCAAAUGUGUUAAUACAUGUACACACACGUUUCAGAGCACCCUGUUUCAUACUGGAGCUGCUCUUCUAGAGCUUUAAAAAGGUUCUCCUACUCGCUCGGACAGUGAACAAGUGCUGCUCCUCUAACCGUCUGAUCCUCCUAACUCUACUCUCCUUCUUUUUAUCCUUCCCUUUUUUCAAACAUUUAUUUCAUUUUCUCCUUCUCAGGUUCCUUCACUACUUCUAGAUUGAGCAAAAUAAUGAAAAGCAUAUUUUGCUCUAUCCAGUUUUCGUCCUUCUCUCUCUUUCCUUUCACUCUGUCCUGCUUCCUUCUUUUUCUCUCUCUCUCUUUCUUGAUAUUUCCCCCAUACCUGUACUCCUUUUGCGUCUACCUUAUAUCCGUCUUUAUUCUCUCAAUUGAUUCUCUGUACAUUUUUUUAUUUCCAUCCUUUUUCUUCUUUAUGGGAGGAUGGAGGGGGGAACAAGUUUGUUUAUUUCUUCUUUAUAUCUUCCUUAUGUUCCCUCCCUCUCCUCUGUUCUCUCUCUCUCCCUUCUUAGUUUUUUCCACUCCCUUCAGUCCUUUCUUUUUCCUUCCUUCUUUCCUCCCUUUCUUCUCUUUAAACUGUUCUUUCGUCUUUCCUUCCCCUUUUCUGUCCUUUCCGACUUUAUUCCUUAUUUCGUUCAUACUGUCUGUUUUUCAAUAUUUCUUCUUUCUCUUCCUUCCUCCUUUUAUCCUUCUUCUAUUCUUUCCUUCCUUUUCUUCUUUUUCCCUCCUCCCCAUGACCUUUUUUCAUUCCUUCUCGUUUCCCUCCUGUUUUACACCCUUUCUUUCUCCUAAUUUACUUAAUUCUGACUGUCUUUUUCUGUCUUUAUUCUCCCUCCUUUUUUCCCCCAUCUCUCCCUCCUUUCUUUUUUAUUUACCCUUACUUUGCUCCUUUCACGUCCUGGUUUUCUUCUGUCUGUCUGCCUUUUCUCAUAUCUUCUUUCUUCAUUUCCUAGCUUCCUUCUGUUUUUCUUUCUUUUGUCAUUACUUUCUAUCUUUCUCCACAUCCUUACUUCCAACUGUCAAUCCUGUCCAUUUUGACAUCUCUCAUUCAUUCCAUCCUUGUUUCCUUCCUAUCAUUCCUUCUUUUUUUGCUUCCUCCUCCAUGUCUUAAUUGAAGUCCUUCCUUUCUUUAUCCCUCAAUUCAUACCUCCUGUAUUCCAACCUCUCAUCCUUACUUCCUUUCUUCCUUGCACAUUUGUCUCACUCUCUCUCUUUCUCUCUCUCUGAAGGACAGAGGUAUUCCCACAUUUCUUGGUUGCUAUGGUAACGCUGCAGCAAGAAAGAAAGAAAGAGAGGCCACAAGAGGAAAAGGGGGUUGGUGUUGGGGAUGGCUGGGUGGAGGGGUUGUUGGGUGGUGCAAAGGGUGGUGAGGAGGGGUUGAGGAAGUGUGAACAAAGCUAAUGCUACUUUACUGAUCAUGGAUUGCGCAUCUAUCCCUUUUUCCUCCUAUUCCAAAACUAGAACCCCCCCCACACACACACUUUUGUUCUUCGCUUUUUAUUUUGUCUCACUCUAUCCAUCCUUAAUACUUCUGUGCUCCGGUCGGCCUCUUUUUCCCUGUGGUUUUAAAACUCAAUCUUCUUGCAGUGCUGUCAUUGUUAUCAUUGUUAUUAUUAUUGGGUCAUUUAGCAGGCAACGUUGGUAUCCACAGCAACCCUGAGAAGUGGCACCAGCUCCUUGGUGAAUACCAAUAUAGACAAGCAUCCAUCAAUAUCCCAGUGACUCAUUAUCAGUCUAAUGGUGAGAUCGUUGCUGUCACACCAGACUAUAAAUAAUGCCGUCUCAUUAGGCACCACUGCUUCCUAUGUAAACAGGUCAUGUUCCAGGCAGGCAAAGGGUGUGUGGACCCUGCAUGGUUAGCCAAGUGGGGAGUUUUCUGCUUGCAUUUAGCAGCAGGGGGUUGAAAAUUGUACUACUAGAUGCUGGUGAGUUUGCACGAGCUGUGGCAGAGGCAGCUGCAUCAGUGUCUGACUCAGGGGGCUGACUCAAUAAAAGCAUGUAGUGGAGUAAAUAAGGCUCACACACUCCCUCACAUAGGUGUGCACAGCUGCAGGCUCUGCCCCCUGUCUACUGUACACACACACACACACACACACAAACUCGGGCAAUCCUGCAGGACUGCAGUGGCUGCUGCUACUCCCUAUCAGUCCUUCGCUGGAGCUAAUCGAUAAUAUCAAGCUGCUGAUGAGACCAAGAAAGUAAGGAGAGAGGGAGUAAUUCACCUCCACCGUUGUCUCUGUGCCUCAAGUCAUUACUGACACUACUCCCAUCAUUUAGCGCUGCAGCAUGAAGAUGGAGGGGAGCAGUCGCAGGGGUGACCAUGUGCACAAGCAAAGGUUGCACAGGUUAAAAAACAUUUUCACAAAAGCGUGUCAAGCCAGUCAAUUUACCUAGGAGAAGACAUGCACGCCAACUUCAUGAAACCAGGAGACAGAAUGAAGAGGAAGUGCAAGUUUAGGGGUGAGGCAGAGUCUGGUGCAUGUCAAUCAUUGCUAAUGUGUAAGAAACCUGAGAGGACUCAUAAUGUUGGAGGAUUACACAACAAGUCCCUGCAUAUUGAUUGCCUGUUUGCUGUAUGAUAAUGUAUUCAUCAUAGCACUGUGUUUGUUUGUGCAGAUUGUCUCUUGGUUGUUCUGCUCUGGUCUGGAAUGCAGAGAUGGAUAUUCCAGAUAUCAGGCCCUAAUCUCUAGACUCAAACGCUAUACUUCAAAUCAGGAUUGAAGCAGCUCAGUGGAAAAAGCUGGACAUAUGCCUAUUGCAGAGGUGUGGACUAGAGCAUAUGAUACUGCCGUAUCACAAGUUAACACUGGCACCCCCUUAAAGAGCUGUUUUUUUUUUACACGCACACACCUUGGCUGGUGGACUGGUGCUACGUUGGUGUCUUCACUCCUGUCUGUGAGAACAUAUGCUUUCUCUCAGGAAAAAAAAGACAUCUCUUCAUGGAUAGUUGUGCGUGAAAUAGUGUCCCUGGGUGAAUCCUUGUUAUAAAUUACAUCUUGUGUUGUUUGCUGGAUUUUUUCGACCUUCUCCCGGGAUGACAUAUUUUUCUGCUCUGUCUAACUGCAAAACUGCCGGUGCCGUACCUGCCCUUGUAUGUGAGCCUCAAGUGCCUCGAGUGUGCAGGUUUUUCAUUCUGAUGGUGGGCUUAACGGCUAAAUAAGUUAUACCCUGAGUCUUGUCGAAGUAAACGUCCUUUUGUUCAGGAUGACCAACAUGCAAAGGUUCCCUGACUCCCACAAACUCCUCCAGCUAAAUUAAUAUCUGACAGCUAAAAAAAAUUUCCCCCAUGGGGGAUCAAUAAAGGAAUAUUCUAUUCUAUAUUCUAAGAGUCGCACAAAUCUCAGAAAGUAGUUUUUACAAUCACAACAAACAUUGGAGUUUUUAACAUGAACAUACCCUCUAUAGCUUUACACAGUUCCAAAUAUAGUGAGUAAAAUCAAGUCUUUUUGUUCAAUAAUGAGUUGCAAAAUGUCCUUUUCGAUGAGUUCAUUUCUCAACUAAACAGAAAAGCAUGUUAUCAUUAUUAUUUUUUAUCAAGUUUAAUCUUUUUUUUUCACCUGAUUUAUCAGAGUUUUUCAAGAGUGUGGGUGGUAAAACAGGAAAACAUUUACAGCUACAUUGAGUGUACAUAGAAUUAAAAUGAUAAAGUAGGGCUGCUCAAUUAAUCAAUUUUACAUGUUAAUUGCAUUAUUUAAUGAUGACAAUGUUAGAAAUAUUAAAAUUGUCAAAUCAGUUUUUCUCUCUAUCAUGUCUCCACCUCCAGGUCACCAUAGGCUCCCCCUUCCUGCGGGAGUGCUCCCCAGUUCCCACACACACCAGUGUAAAGAAACAUGACGUUUGCAAAAGAGGGUGAUAAUUUCGUGGCGAAGAACAAACCACUCCCCAAUGCAAAGUCUGUCUGAAGGCGGUGUUUCAUCCACAUGGAAACGGUGUUUUGAGUGACUGUAAACGGUACUUUUUGAAAACAGGUCAGAGAGUGCAUGAAUCUGUAAACGACUACCAUUUCAUCUCCGUGUGGUUGUCUAUCUGAACCCAUCUGGAAACGAUUAUGUGACACACAGCGUAGUUCUUUUAUGGUGCCUGUGCUUGUCAACCUUUAUAAACAACCUUAAAACAACAACCUUUAUAUGCAUGAUCAAUAUCUUUACUCUUCUUCUGCCUUUUUUGCAUUUCCUGUGCAGGGUUACAGCGCCACUUACUGGCUUGCGCUACAUCAUUUUCAGUGGUUUUAUAUUGAGAGAUGAUAGAAAAAACUUUUUAUUCAAGUGAAGUUUGGUGAAGUUGUGACUGAAUAAAAAAAAUGAAAUCGAAAUCUAAAAUAGAGUUUUCAGAGAAAAAACAUCAGGUUUUUAUUUUUGGCCAAAAUCGGGCAGCCCCGUGAUAAAGAUGAAGUUACAUUUCUUGUCUCCACUGUUGUAGUUUUAAGCUUCCGAAAUAGAGGACACAGCGGACCUCUGCAUUGCAAACACGUUUGGAAGUUGGCCCUAUGUUGAUAUCAGAUGUUUCAAGGAAUUAAGUUACAAAAGCGUCUCCUUGUUUCCUUUUAUCAAGUUUUAUCUAAAAAAUUUUUUUUAAAAAGACAUUCCAUGUUAGAUAAUAAAAAUACAAACAGAAGUCAACUUCUGACCUUGUGUGCACCAACAUGUUUAACUGCACACGUGCAGAGCUACGUGAUUGAAAUGGCAACAUUUAUAAUUAACUUUGCAAUUCAUGAAAUAAAACUGUCUGUACAAACUAUUUAGGGUUUUGGAAAAUUCGUGUUGGUGAGAUGAUGGACAUCAUAUACAAAAAAAAAAAUACAAGAAAACGGCUGAGAUGAAAGGUAAAUAUCAACCUGGGCAACUUUGGCUGUGUCUGCCAGGUACUCUUGGUGUCUGAUGGUGCUACAGAGCUAAAGAUGAAGGCCACCAAACCAAAGUCAUGUAACUGGAACCCAUAAAUUGGCAAUAGGCAUAGUUGGGCUGCUGUUAAGCCUCUCUGUCCCAAGAUCCUUGCACAUUGAGCAAACAGUCAGCAGUUGGCAGGACUAAGCAGCAAGUUACAGGUUUUCAGCUGAGUUUAUGAAUGAUCAUUUAAAUUUAAAUAUCUUUAUUAAUUAUAUUGUCAGAGUAGACAAGACCUUGAAGCCCAUAAAGCCAAACUAAAGAAAGUUAAGUAAGUUUGAUUUUAAACAUGAGCUCCUUCAUUCUGUGUCCAUACUGCUGUAGUCAGCAGGGGUCCGUUUCACGUAGGUGGUUCAACAAACUCUGAGUUAAAUCCUUAACUCUGAGUUGAUCUACUCUGAGUUAGGAAACUCUGAGUUUCCGGUUUCACAACGCCUGAUUUGAGACGGUUUUAACAACUCCGAGUAGUUUGACCUGGAGUUAAGCACGUGCACGCCAGACAUAAACAGCCAGCAUCUGUGGAGCGCAGAUUCAAUGAUCAACCAAUGGAAACAGGGAGAAGGAGGGGGCAGCAGCAAGCCAACAGCGAAUUACAGCACGUUUUUAAAAGAAAGUGCAAUACAGCAGCAGCUGCAAAGGAGAGGGAGAGGGCAUGGGAGGAAGUCGCUGCUCGCGUCAAUGCGUAACUUUAAAUCUAGUCUCGUGCAAUCACAAUGACAGACUGUUGCAGGGAAACUGCUUGAAUCAUUUUGAUCAUGUUUUACAUUGUCAAGUAAGUAUUAAGUGGCAGUUUGAUCCCUUAGAAAAUACUCUUUUCACACUCAAAAAUGAAUUUUACUCUCUUAUGAUGUUCCGUUAAAUGAUUAGGAAUAUUAAACUAACUCUCAGUAUGUAUAUGUACAUAUAUUAAACUAACACACACUACACUCAAUAUUAGACUUUCACUCAGCAAAGAGAAAGAGGGCAGAUGCCAGAAAAACGGGUGAUGGCCCAGCAGCCCCACCUUUAACGGAGGCAGAGGAGCUGCCCCCCCCCCCCCCUUCGACGAUCGCAACCCCCACCCCGUAGCAGCGAUCGUCGGACUGGUGUGCGUGUGUGUCUGUGGGGGGGGAUUUGCGAUCGGACCGGCCGCGAUCGUCGAACGGGGGUGGGGGGGCAGCUCCUCUGCCUCCGUUAAAGGUGGGGCUGCUGGACCACCACCCGUUUUUGUGUUAGUUUAAUAUUCCUAAUCAUUUAACGGAACAUAAUAAGAGAGUAAAAUUCAGUUUUGAGUGUGAAAAGAGCAUUUUUUAAGGGAUCAAACUGCCACUUAAUACUUACUUGACAAUGUAAAACAUGAUCAAAAUGAGAAAAUGCCGAUGUCUCACCUGAAACUCUGGGUUUACUGAGUUAAACCUGCUCCCGAGCAGGUUAGGUUCACGGAGUCUGUUACUGUGGUAACUGACCGCGAGGUUGAGUUACCUCUCUUCGUGAAACAGGUUAGAGUUACCCCUCUCUCCCUGGUUUAACUAACCCUCCUUUGUGAAACGGAAAACUCAGAGUUUCCCUGAUUUCAGGGUUAACAAACUCGGAGUUUCCACUAAACCUGCUACGUGAAACGGACAGCAGGUCUGUUUGAUUUCAGGAAAAGAAGACCUCAGUGACUAAUUUGGCUUCCACACACAACACUAUGCAGAUCAUUUUCAGACUGUUCGAGAAAUAACAACCUGUCGCAUUUCGGCUUCUGGGGUGCUCUGUGUAUGCUGACAUAGCUUAAUAAAAAAACAAAAUAGCGGAUAUUAGACUGACAGAAAAUGUAUUAAUUCUGGGUCUUCUCCACAGAUGAUCCACAUUGUUGUGCAAGUGAAAAGAAAUGCCAGUCUCCUCCCACUGAUGACACCCUUAAAUUAACUUAAUCAAAUUUAAGGAUUCAUGAUCAUUACAAAUGAAGCCAAAUAUUUUUUUAAAGCCUCGCAGGCUUUUUAAUUUUCAGUGCCCGCUGCCAACCAUGUGUCCUUUAAUCUGUGAAACAUCUGAAAAGCAAAGAUUUUCACACCCCGGUGACAAUUUGUGCCACCUUGAAGCAUGUGUGCAUGUAACAGCGCAUGACACAAAAGCGAGCUGCACAUAUGUUACCGCGGCAUGCGUGGGUAUGCUGCCUUCAUACAGUAUGCAAGAUGUGUCAUAGGUUGUACGUGUCAUCCUGUCUUCUCUGUCUCUCUAUCUCUCUCUCUCUGAGUCGCAUUACCUCUCCCCUGCAACCUGCCUUCUAAUCAAUAACUCAUCUCUCCAUGUCGAUUCCCCUCUACCCCCACAGGAAAACAAAUGUCCUUCCACAGGACAAACAAAGAGAGGGGAGGAUGAUGAGGCGAUGGAGGGAGGUACAGAGGUAGGCAGAGAAUCGGGGAAAUACUGUAAAUCCAGCGAAAUAGGUAAAUAGCCUGUUGCAGUGGAAGGGACAGAGUAAAGAAACAGCAAGGUUGAGAGAGAGGAUUUGAAAGGGUGGCUAUUGGAUGGAUGAUUAGCCCCCGUCUCCAAGGUUACACUUUACAACUGUAUCACUGCGGAGCUGGAGGGGAGGGGGGUGGGGAGUAGGGAUGUUGAAGGGUGACAUGCACCGUUCAUCACACAGGGCUGAAUUAAAGAAGACAGAGGCAGGUUUUUUUCAGCUCUGACCUUCACAUAAAGAACUAGCGCCGGCCUUGACCUCCAGACAGAGCAGGGAAUAGUGCUGCUGCUGCCGCCACUGCAGCAGCAGCAGCAGCAGCAGCCAGCAACAACAACAGCCAUGCCGACAACGCAGGAGCACCAGAGCAGAAAAGCGCAGACAAUCGGCAGCACUGAGGAGAGUGACAUGCGACAGGCCCCAGAAGGGGAGAAACGGGGUGGAGGAAUCGUUUAGAUUCCAGCCAACUGAAAGAAUUGGCCUUUUCACGAGAACAGGAGGCAGAAAACGGGAACUUGUUUGUUACUUUAGGACCUCCCUCUCCUCCACCCUUUCCUCAAAUCCUCAACCCUGUCCUACUGUUUGUAUAUAACCCCUUGACGGGAACCUUCCCCAAACUUAACUAUUUUAACCUAAGCAAGCUGAGCAAGAAAUAGAGCCUUGUGAUUGAGUUGCAUGCUUUAGCAUCCCUGCAGUCGGUUCUAAUCCUAAGUGCGUACUUGCUGCUCUACCCUUGAGUCAUGUAGAAUCUAGAGUCGGUGAGGUGAAAAUGAGAAUUGUUAGGUGGUUUUGCAUAAUCUAUUCAGCGCGACCGUUGGCUGCCCCCUUGGUAGCAUGUAUGAGAGACGGAGGUGGUGUCGCAUCAGCAUUUUAAAGUUCCAACAUGAGUCCUGGAGAAAGUGCCUGUGCAUUUUCCACAAUCUGAUAACCUUCCAGCGUGUGUAGAAACUCAAGCAACUAUGCAGGGGAUAUGUCACCACUUUUUAAAGUAUGCUAAUAUGAAUCACACACUGCUCAUGUAAUUCAAACCUGUUUGCUUUAGCCUGGGUUGUGCACAGACAUCAUGCAAAGCAGGACAGUGUUGUUUGCAUUUUGUCUUUUUUUGCAGCUUCUCAUGUGCACACCCACACAAAGGCUGGAGGAGUAAUACAUAACGUGUAACUGGAUUACAAUAAUCUGAUUACAGAAUUUACUGAAUUUUUGGAGCAACAAAAGAUGAGCUAAAUUGCUAGAUUACCAGCUUUGGAUAAAACAGAAAAAAAAAAUUCUUCCUGGUUUACAUGUAAAAGCUAUUUGAAGGAAACCAGGACAGUUAAGACUUGGACAACAGUGUUUCUGAUUGAAUACUGUCCACAACAUUGUAAAACUGUAUGUCGAUUUGAGUCCACACAUUAUUUACUGGGAUGAGCAAUCAAGUCUUGAAUUUUCUACUGACCCAUGUACUGGAGUGAUUACAUUUUUCAUACAAGCAAAGUAAUGACUGUGUCGAUGCAGAGCUCCUUCUGAGUUCUUUUCAGUGAAUAUAAAUUUCACAGUAAGUGUCAAGUCCUCAUGGGAAAAUCCAAGUCAAGUCAUCACUCUCCACUAAGCAGUCAUUUGCAAGUGUCUGAAAAAGACCCAUUAAAAAUUCACAGGCCUUAUUUUUAGAUGUAUGUCUCUAGGAACUGCAAAGUCGGUCUAUUAGUCAGUCCACCACUUUUAAAACCCCAAAUCUCAACAAUCUCAACAGCUCGGAUGCCUGAUGGAUAAAUAUGAAUGUUUCUGAAGGAAAUCUUUUGGGGGAUGAAGGGAAAUGCCCUGGCUAUACUCAGACUUUUCCUUUUUAGGGUGCUUUUAAAAACUGUUAACAUUUCUUCUUGUCCAUUACACCGGCUUUGACAGAGGAUCAGCAAAGCGAAAUAAAAGCUGAUCUAUGUGCUGCUAUUAAUUCUGUUUCAUUUAUAAUGCACUGACUUACAGAAAAACUUUGAACUAGGUUUGUUCAUUUAUACGUUAUUGGGUUAUUUUACUCUCAGCUUAUUGUCUAUUGAUUAUCAGUGCUGGUGUAGGUACGAGAUGUGUUUGGGCUGCCAGAUCGGCUUGGGGCCUGGUGCCUAUAGAUGACCUCACGCUAUAUGAUUGUCUGAAGGUUGGUUCAUAUGACGUUGAAGAUGGUGGUUGGUCCAGACAUUACAGGAGUGGUUUUCACUGGAAUAGGUUUCAUGGCAUUGUAGUUUCGGGCGAAAACAUAGAUGAAUUUUACAAAGCAAUCUAUCGCUACUUAUCAAAGGGGGGCUUACGACAGCCGGACUACCGCCUCUUUUAGGUUGCCAACGGAAAUGACUGCAAGCAGCUGCUGGAAGAGAGUAGGUGAGUUGUGUUUCGUCUCUUUGCUAAAGCAGUUAGGCAAAGCUAAAAAGAUGUUUGGUGGCUAGUACUAUGGCUGGCCACCUACAUGUACUGCUGAUGAAGUUAGGUGCUGUUCUGAGCAUUAUUUGUGGCUAGAGAGUGGCAUUUUGGUUGAGGUUUGUGCGUGGCUCUUUAGACCGCUGUGUGUUGCUAUUGUGCGGUCGUUACUAAAAUUGGUAUAACUAGAGAAGCAAGCGGUGGGCUACAUUAAUCUCUCGAGGGGUUGUCUAACUCGGCGUUUUGGUGUGUUUGACCCUAAAUUUAUUUUACGCCGGAAUAUUCCUUUAAAUCACACAGUGAGACACACACACAUAGACACACAAACAAAGAGUUGAUAUCUGUUUCGUAUCGCUGCUCGUGCCCAGCUGUCAGCAGGUUUGUCUGCUGAUUUGUUCUGAGGGCACGCCACUGAAAUAACAUCUCACACUCUCAGAGUGCAAAGCCUUUGAGCUGAUUGACGGAUACUUAACUGCCAGAGCUUCAGUGUUUAAAUAGAUUAUCUAAGCAAAGGAGAAUCAAUGUAAACCCAUCCAAUGACACUAUCCAGCACCCCCCUACACAAACAUACACUCACACACCAUCGUUGAAACCAAGAGUCAGUUGCGUUCAGAAACCGACCUCUUGGCAAACCCAACCAGCACAAGCUAAGUAUUAACUGUCAGCUAAACAGCAGCCCACAUACAAGACACACGCACAACCAUUUGAAUACACACAAACACGCACAUGAUCAGUCUUGGGGCGCAGGUGGAGGUCAGCCACUCGGGUCAGGAUACAGAGCCUGCAGCUAGCUGGUCUGUAGUGUUGGUGUCAAAUCAGCUUUAGCACACUGACACAAUGCCUUCAAACACACACACACACACACACACACACACACACACACACUCACACACACACAAACACACACACACACUUCUGCAGCACACUAGAAAAGGAAAAAAAGAAACUGAUAUAAAGAAGAAGUGCAGGCUCUAUGCGAAAAAAGCGAGACAAGAGAGAACAUACACAUCUCCAAUUUACACCACACACACGCGCGCACACACACACUUUUAAGCAGAGAAAUAAACAUUGGAUUUCCGCUCUCAUUUAAUAUAGACCCAUGUUGAAAAAAUAAAGCAGCCCAAUCUGACUUUGAAUUUUGUGAAAAAAUGUUAUUUUUAUUUCAUAAAUUUCUCAGUAUGGCACAUGAACAGAGAUUGAAUGUUCUGAAAAGAUUUGGCACAGAACCUUGAAGCAGAACAAAUCCACCCUCCUCCAUCCACGCACACAUACACACACACUCUCUAUUUCACAUGUUCCUCCAGUGUUAAUACGUACAUCUGUGGUUAUAACAGGUUAAAACACAGUCUUUAGAAACAAUCACAAGAACAACCAUAGUCAAUAUUGCAGAAGAGAAGCCUAAGCGAAACAAAAAAGCAGAUGGAGGCCAUGUUUAAUUGAACAGAGGGAAGGAAGUAUCAGAAGCCUUGUUUUUUGUUAUUGUUGUUGGGUUGGUUUUUCCAUUUUCCUGAGAGGGGAUCAGCUUGAUGCAGGGACUAACAGGAGCGUGAGAGAUUGUCUGUGUGUGUGUGUGUGUUUGUGUGUGUGUGUGUGUGUAUGUGUGCUUGUGUUUGUGAGGAUCAUGGGGUUAAUACAGAAUCACAAGUUGACAUCUAGCUGCAGGGUAGUGAAAAAUGGCAGCAGGAAAAGGUGGGAGGGCUUAAACUGGAAGCGUGAGGUAGAUAUAGAGGAGCGGAGGAGGGAGAACGGGCGGGUUAAGGGGAUGAGGAGCACAAGAGGAGGAAAAGGAGGGGAUUUAAUGCAAGAGGUACUCCUGUGAGUUAGCGAGCGAGCGAGUGUACGAGUUUGUGUGUGAGUCAGAGAGAGUUAGAGAUGGAGAGGGAGGGAGAUUUGGGGAGAGGGAGAGGCUGUGGUGAAGGUUUUAGCUACAUUUCUGAAGGAGAGGGUGAGAAAAAGGCAGAGAAGCAGGAGAAGUCAGCCAUGCUCCUCUCUGUUCUGGGUUGGGGACAGAGAGGAGUCAUUCCCCCUCCGGCACCGGCUGACAUAUAAGCACCAUGGCGGCCUCCUUCCUCCUCCAUGUCUUUAUCUCUGCCGCACACAGAUACACAAAACAGAUACUGCGCGCACUCAAGUGCACACAAGUAUGCACGCAAGCCACUCGGACGUAUGCAUAAAUAUGCAUACUUAUGCCUCUCAUGCAGAUACUACACAGACACACAAGUGCACUGAGCCGGGGCCCCCGUGUGUGUCAAAUAUAUCACACACAUGCAGACACACUCACACACAGACAAAACCUACAAAGAUAUAGAGUGACAGGAUGCUUCUCAUUGUCAUCUUUCAUUCUUCCUGCCAUCAUCACAUCUCUUUUCAAUCUAUCUCUCCUGUCUUUCUCUCUAUUUCUGUCUCCCCUCGUCCUCCCCUCCUUGUCUCUCUCUUUCCUUCAGGCACAAAGGGGUGGGAGACCCUGAGGCGGCACAGAGGCUCCACUGCCGGAUGGACCUGGCAAACGCACAUCAACUAUGGCUGAAACACAAAGGAGGCCGCUGCAGUGUCUGCUGAAUGUCACGUUUAAAAGCAUUAGAGGGGGACUAUUAAAAACGUGAAUUUUGGUUUCAUACAGACUGGGAGCAGAAAUGGGAGCAGACAUGAAAUGAGGGUAUUAAGGGCCAGACUGUGUGAAUAAAUCAGCACCGAUGAGAUAAAAAAAGAGACAGUAUGCCUCACUUGGCUGACAUGAGGGGGUGGAGACAAACAGGGUAAAGAAAAAUCAAUAACUGCAGUAAAAUGUUGAUUUCAUAUUGAUGAGUUUACAACUGUUUUUUUUAAGAAAACUUGUUUCACUUUGAGGAUGCUGGAGGUCAGAUUUAAAGCUCGGCUCAGGAGGCUUAUAUGGGUCAGGCUGGAUCUGUGCUCUGGUUGUUGCUUUCUGAUCACAACUUCUGACCCUCAGGUGGGAGCAGAGUAAUAAACAGUUUGUGCAAGAUUAAAGGAUUGCAAGUGAAUUUUAUGAAAGAAGAACUACAAACUCUGGAUUUUUUACAUGUAAGCAUAAUGCCCGUCAACACAAGGGGUAAAAUACCAGCUCAUUGGACAUAUGACACGUUGGAGAAAUAAAAUAAUGUUGCACCAACUACAACUGCUGGCAGCUCCGCUCAGUGCCUUCUCAGUGAUCAUCCCCAAGAUCAUUGGAGACUGAGGGACUAAUUUUGAGACUGAACCUUUAUUUUGGGAUCUCUUUUAGGGAAGAGGAGACCUUUGUGGAAAAUUGUACUCAUGCAAUCCUGACCCCAAAAAGGCCAAGUUCUUUACAAACAAGCUAAGGGAAUAUAAGCUCCAGCUUUGCUGGCUUCUCCUCUUGGCAUCAAAGAGACACGUUUUUGACAGUUCAUAUGACAGGGUUUGUUGUUUAUGGUGAGAUGGAGAGUUCGCUCACGCAGUAUUACAAUCUUUGUAUGAAAUAAACCUGAAUGCUCUGCAUUGUGCAGUUCAGGUUUGGGUGAUUUGUUAUUAGGGUCAGGUUCUUGUCUUUAAGGCUCCAGUCUGUGCAUGUGUCACACACUGCAGUGUCCUUGUGUCACUAGUGUGGGCUUUAUGCAAACUUGAAAGCUCUCCAUAUUCCUCUCUAGAGCCAUACCAUGACACCCUAACAUACCUCUGAGUUGGACAGAUGUCGAUGCAUCUGUUGUGAUGAUCCAGUUUGUGGAGGUAACAGCUGUACCUCAUUCUUUGUCUACUCAUACAGUGCAGGUAUGCAAGUUGGUAAGUUAGAGCUUGGUGAAGGACUUGGGAUCAUUUCAUGGGAACCAGAAUUUCCAACCGCACUGUAUGAUAGUAUUACAGAUAAAUCUGGCAACUGUUAUUGUAACUUAAGCACUUGCUGAGAUUUGGCCAGUGUCUGGGUAAAGAUGUUGGCAUAUCUGUUACUUUUUCCAGGGCAGCUGGCACUGCUUUUGCUUUGGGAACAGAACUGGUAGCUCUGUGUUUGAUGCUGAUACCAUGCUGCCUUCAGAGGUAAGUGAAGAGAUUGGUAGUGUUGUCAGCGCAGUCUUCAACUCUGUAUACUCUGCAAACAGCUGCUGGUUUAUCAAGGAGGCCUUCCGUUCAUAGAAGCCAAAAUCUGUCCAAACUUAUGACUUGUAACCAGACAAAUUGAUAAUCUCAAGUUUCUCUAGCUCCUUCCUUAUUAGCUGUCAACUGAGUUCAAGUCCAUCUAAUCAAUCUCUGUGACCUACGUCUCUCAACAUCUACUUUGGGGUCAGUCUGCAACCCCAGUUCCAAAAACGUUGCAACAUUGGGUAAAAUGUUGAAAAGCUUUGAUGAAUUUAAAAUCAUCUAAAUUCUAUAAUUUACUCAAAAUCCUGCAAAGAUAAGUCAGUUUGUGAUACUGAAAAAUGUACUGUGUUAUGAAAAAUUUGGAUUUUAUUUCAAAUUAAUGGACAAAGGGGCCAGCGUGCUUAAAUUAAAAAGUUCUCAAAGUCACUUGGGGUCCAACUUGAGGCAAACACUCUAAAUGAAAAGAUGUCAGUACUGACAAUGAAGUUUAUGAUUUAAAAAAAUGAAGAUAAAGAUUGACCGAAGUUUUAAGAAAUAAACUGCAGUCUGUCUUUGUCUGUAUUUUUUAACGGUCUAUCAUAAAUCUUAAAGCUUAAAGGCUAAAACAUACAGGAUCCUUAUUGAGUGCGUAACGUCAGCAUUGUGUAUUUUGCAGCAAAUAGGUUGCCAUUAUAAUCAAUGCAGCAUCGCAUACAGGGUGCGUAUCAGCUCUGUAUCAGAAGUGCAUCGAGAGCAGCACUGCUAUAGACGGGUCUAUUUUUGCUGCUCUACGCUUCCAAUGCAUGUGAAUCUACACAGAGACGAUCGUUCAAGACAGGAAGUCAAGCACGAAAAACCACGCAUGACAUCAGGUAUUUUAAAAUAAAACACCCUAUGCGAGCUCCCGACUAUGUAUUAGUUCAUGUAGAUGAGAAAUACUUCCUGGUUGUGGAUUUAUCAGUAACACAGAACAAUCUGAUGGUCAAUCCCUGAUAAAUGUGGACCCCAACAGGACUUUUAACGGUUAACUCUGUCUGAAGGUAACAGCACAGUAUAAAGGAACAUAGUUUACUUUAUUAAACACAAGUAAACCUGCAAAAAUCCAAACUGUAAAAUCACAUUGCUUUUUCACAUAUAGUAGAAGCUCAACAGUCACUUAAUUAUAACUAAAUUAGCAGGAAAUAGAUCACAGAAAGGCAAAACAACCUGUUGUGAGCAUGUUGUUUCCUCUAUACUGAGCCAAGCUGACCGGGGCUGCACUACACUGUUGCCAAGCCCCAAAUAGGCAUCCUGUAUUUGAUACCCAGGGCUGCUCUAAGGAGCAAAUACAGAUCGUGCUCAAUAUGGAUCCUGUAUGUUUUCAGCUUUAAAGAAAAAGAAAACAGGCAUAAUUCAUCCCGGUUAGAACUUCAUUUUUGAGGAGCUGUAGUUGUCUUUGUAGUUUACAGGUUUGUAUUAUCUUCACUUUCAGAAAGUAAAAUUUUUAAAAAGGGAUGACAUGGUAAUAAAUGGCAUCGUAAUAUUUAAAGUCAACAACACAAACAGAUCUGUCUCUUUAUUUUUAUUACAUCAAAUAUCAUAAGAAAUGCUGAUAUUCAUACAUAUAGAACAAAUACAUUGUGGUCAUAAUUUUGGCUGUAUUGUCCAGCCCUACCUUGCUCCUACGUUUGACCUCAUGCUCUCCCACGCUCCUGCUGAUAGAUCCUGGUUGGACAGCUCUACUAUCAAAACCAGCAGCUAAUAUCCAUAUGUCUGUUUUUGUCUCCUUCCUCUCCCAUAAGGUGCUCCAACCAGACCUAAAUUUAUACUUCAAAGCAGUGAACUGUACUCUGUGGCCUGCACCCAGCUUCAAACAAACAUCACACACUGCAGAAGUGCGAUCAUGAUGCCGAGCCAAAAUGUCCAUAACCAGUAAAUCUGAGAGUAGGACCGCUGUGUGCAUUUUGGAACCUAACAGCCAGCAUGUCCCUGUGAGGAGGAGAGCACUGCUGCUGCUGCUGCUGGGUCAGCACUAACUCCAAUAGUCCGGGACAGUCAAGUCGAAGUCCCAGAGUCCUGAAGAGGACUUUUUUCUUUUUCUUUUUCUUUUAGGGCAUGGAGAUGCUCCAGAAGGGUGUCUUAACCCGGCAGAUUGUUUCCAAAUCUGUGUUUGAAAGGGACUCUGGCUGCUUGCUUAAUGUCAAUAUCAGCUUUUUUCCAAGAAUCCCUUUUGAACUUUACCCCAUGGGGCUCUGAGCUGGUUUUACCAGAGCCAGGAAGAGUUUUCAUAUUCAAAGGGAAAAAAAAUUAAAUUACUGCACAGAUGCUCAGAGAUGCAGUUAGAAAGUUUUCACAUGACGACACUGAUAUCCUCCUUUAUAAAGCAUUCAUGAGCUCACUGUUAAGCAGAGCUCCCACUUUACUAUUCCCAUUAAUCGCUACUUUACAAUUACAUGAGCUGUGAGCGUGUCCCAUUUUACUAUUUUCACUGACUGUGUGGAUUUUCCUCAGCUGCUGAUCACAGACCCUGCCAACCCACAGCUGAGUGACACACACAAGAUAGUUAUCUGGGCUGAGAUGCCACUCAUCACUCUCACAUCACAGCCCACACACACUGACAAGCCCCACCGUCCAGUUCCACGCAGCUCAACACUUACAAGGCCAAACCAAAACGGACAUCUUAUGACCACCGACACGGUUACCAAGGCAACAAAAAAAUAAGAGAUGUGCUGUUGAAAAAUUAAGGACACCUUCACAGGGUAUAAAGCAGACGCAGGAGGAGCUGUUAAAGGGUUUGUGUUAGCCUCCACUGCACUCAAAUUGUUAAAGAAAGCCCCUCCUCAAUCACUGAAUCACUCUUUAGUCAGUGUCAGUGUGUGUAAGCGUGCGCGUGUGUACUUGUACAUGUGCAAAUGUGUGUGUGUGAAAGUUUGAUAGUAGGCUUUAGGGCAGGGUUUUCACAGUGAUGACACAGAAAAAAU
RNAcentral lists this long non-coding RNA (18787 nucleotides) under Xyrichtys novacula (pearly razorfish). The record is from RNAcentral. Lineage: Eukaryota; Metazoa; Chordata; Actinopteri; Labriformes; Labridae.